CGGGGUGCGGCGGGCGGGGGCAGGGCCUGGGCGCCUCGCCAGACGCCAGGGCCUACCCCGACGGUUUCAGCGCCAGCUUCUGCGUGAGGUUUGGCUGUUCACAGCCCGUACUCCAGCUCAUCUUCUGGGAACAACCCGAGGAGGCAAGCCAGUUCCUAGGUGCUGACAUCAGACCUCUACCCUUCAGUCAGGAGAAGAAACCAGACCAACCAAAAGCAAAGAAGAGCUUAAAACAAUGGUCUCAGGGGUUCUCCAACUCACAGCCUACCCAGAUACCCAACAGUAAAAGAGCCUCCAAGUUGACAAGCCCCGUCCACCUGUGCAGAGCUUCCAGUCAGCAGCAUCAUCCCUACUCUUAUUCAUGAAUACUAAGGAUUUCUGGGAAUGUGAGGAAAGCUUUUAAUGUGAGCAAAGAGAUCUAAAUAAACAGAUUAGAGCAACUUAGAAAAAUAGUGGAUUCUGUGGCUUUUCCAAAAACUUAAUUUUCUGAGAGAUAACAUUCCACUCAAAACAAAAAAAAAAUAUUACUAAAAAGGAACAAUAAGAAAACAAAACAAAGCUCUCAGAAAUUAAAAGAAUAGUAAUAGGGUUAGAAAAUCAAUAGGACUGGAAGAUAUAGUUGAAGAAACCCCCCUUAUCCCAAAGUGGAACAAAAUAACAUAUGGGAAAAUAGGAGAGAAAAGAUUAAACAAAGCAGGUCAUUAGAGGAGGUCCAUCAUCUGAAUAGUAGGAGUUCCAGAAAAUGAGAGCAGGAAAAGAACAGUGGGGAAGCAAUUUGCAAUGAAGUAAUUACAUUUUCAGAACUGAAUAACAUUAAGAUUUUGAUCAGAAGGGUUCAGAGUGCCAAGCAGAUAGAAUGAAAACAGAGCAUCACCAUGGAUCACUGGGGGAAAACUACACUUCUAAGACCUUCAAGAAAGAAAAAAGUCUGGUCACAUAAAUAUGGCUAGAAGACCACAGAGCAAUGCCUCUAAAUUCCAAAUGAAAAUGAUACCAGACUGCAUGCUGUUAACUGUCAAUAAUGGGAGAAGGGUAAAGGCACUUUCAGACAUUUAAAAUCUUAAACAUUUUACCUCUCACACACAUUUAGAGAACCUACUCAGGGAGGAUGCCACCAAAAAGAGGGAACAAAUGAAACAAGGGAACAUGCAGGACAAAACCAGGAAACCCAAUAUAAGAGGUAAAGGGAGUCACUAGGAUGGUGACAUGCAGCAAGUGGAAGGAAACUCAUCAUAGUGUAGCGGGGCAAGGGCUCCAUGACUAUGCUGACCUUCUCCGCAAAGUGAAUGAUAGGCACAGGGAAAGUCAAUGGAACCAUCACUUUUAUUG
Molecule: long non-coding RNA, 1329 nt
Filed under: Canis lupus familiaris (dog)
Lineage: Eukaryota; Metazoa; Chordata; Mammalia; Carnivora; Canidae
Description: lncRNA (ENSCAFG00000055435.1, ENSCAFG00805027244.1, ENSCAFG00845029205.1)
Source: RNAcentral